This 252-nucleotide ribosomal RNA is filed under the name Triticum aestivum (bread wheat). RNAcentral's name for it is "partial small subunit ribosomal RNA". Lineage: Eukaryota; Viridiplantae; Streptophyta; Magnoliopsida; Poales; Poaceae. The record is from RNAcentral.
AUGGUCAUCUCCUUCGUGUUCUUCGAUAUCUUCGGGGCACGAUUUCUCACCGUCUAUUCUUUCCUUGCUCCAGUUCUUUGCAGCUUCAGGCCUAUUCGGAUGCUACGCGGGCUAGUGAUCCUUCUGAUCGCCGUUCACUUUCUGCUUACUGUGUUUUUCUUGGCGGUUCUCUCAUUGCCUGGAAGACGAAGAAACAGAUUGCAGUUUCCCGUUCGUGUGCAGAGGCUGAGUUGCGAGCAAUGGCUCUUUUGA